CAUGUCCUUUUGGUAAUAAUUUAAGGUCUAAUCUGCUCAAUGAAUAAUUAAAUUGCCGCAGUAUUUUAACUGUGCAAAGGUAGCAUAAUAAUUAGUUUUUUAAUUGGAAACUGGAAUGAAUGAUUGGACAAGAAAAUUUCUGUCUCUUGUUGUUAUUUUGAAUUUAAUAUUUAAGUUAAAAAGCUUAAAUGGUGUUUUUAGACGAGAAGACCCUAUAGAGUUUGAUUUAAUUUAAUUUUAUUAUUAUUUAGUAAUUUAUUAUUAUAUUAUUAAUAUUAAAUUUGGUUGGGGUGACUUAAAAAUAUAGAAAACUUUUUUAAAAAUUUAAUUAAUUGUGAUUAAAUAGUGAGCCUAAUUAUUUUAAGUUUAAUAUAAAUUACCUUAGGGAUAACAGCGUUAUUUUUAUUUGAAGUUCUUAUUUAAAUUAAAGAUUGCGACCUCGAUGUUGGAUUAAAGUUUACUUUUGGUGCAGUAGCUUAAAAGUUAAGUCUGUUCGACUUUUAAAAUUUUACAUGAUCUGAGU
This 523-nucleotide ribosomal RNA is filed under the name Malthodes sp. UPOL 000M21. RNAcentral's name for it is "partial 16S ribosomal RNA". The stretch from base 387 to 523 matches the Rfam family "Bacterial large subunit ribosomal RNA", at positions 2473 to 2610 of the family's 2925-position model. The record is from RNAcentral. Lineage: Eukaryota; Metazoa; Arthropoda; Insecta; Coleoptera; Cantharidae.